UGGGGAAUUGUUCGCAAUGGGCGCAAGCCUGACGACGCAAUGCCGCGUGGAGGAUGAAGAAUUUCGGUUCGUAAACUCCUUUCGACCGAGAUGAAUGUCCGCUGACCUAACACGUCGGCGGGGUGACAGUAUCGAGGGAAGAAGCCCCGGCUAACUCCGUGCCAGCAGCCGCGGUAAGACGGAAGGUGCAAGCGUUGCUCGGAAUCACUGGGCGUAAAGGGUGCGUAGGCGGCUGUGUAAGUCUGGCGUGAAAGCCCAGGGCUCAGCCCUGGAAGGGCGCUAGAAACUGCGCGGCUAGAGUGCCGGAGGGGAGAGUGGAAUUCCUGGUGUAGCGGUGAAAUGCGUAGAUAUCAGGAGGAAUACCGGUGGCGAAAGCGACUCUCUGGACGGCAACUGACGCUGAGGCACGAAAGCGUGGGGAGCAAACAGGAUUAGAUACCCCAGUAGUCCCUGAGCGGGCUGGCAAGGCGCAU
Molecule: ribosomal RNA, 473 nt
Filed under: uncultured bacterium
Lineage: Bacteria
Description: bacterial SSU rRNA
Rfam family: Bacterial small subunit ribosomal RNA
Source: RNAcentral